Molecule: ribosomal RNA, 492 nt
Filed under: uncultured bacterium
Lineage: Bacteria
Description: partial 16S ribosomal RNA
Rfam family: Bacterial small subunit ribosomal RNA
Source: RNAcentral
AGUGAACGCUGGCGGUAGGCCUAACACAUGCAAGUCGAACGGCAGCACAGUAUGAGCUUGCUCUUACGGGUGGCGAGUGGCGGACGGGUGAGGAAUACAUCGGAAUCUACUUUUUCGUGGGGGAUAACGUAGGGAAACUUACGCUAAUACCGCAUACGACCUACGGGUGAAAGCAGGGGAUCUUCGUACCUUGCGCGAUUGAAUGAGCCGAUGUCGGAGUAGCUAGUUGGCGGGGUAAAGGCCCACCAAGGCGACGAUCCGUAGCUGGUCUGAGAGGAUGAUCAGCCACACUGGAACUGAGACACGGUCCAGACUCCUACGGGAGGCAGCAGUGGGGAAUAUUGGACAAUGGGCGCAAGCCUGAUCCAGCCAUACCGCGUGGGUGAAGAAGGCCUUCGGGUUGUAAAGCCCUUUUGUUGGGAAAGAAAAGCAGCAGGUUAAUACCCCGCUGUUCUGACGGUACCCAAAGAAUAAGCACCGGCUAACUUCGUG